Molecule: ribosomal RNA, 254 nt
Filed under: uncultured bacterium
Lineage: Bacteria
Description: partial 16S ribosomal RNA
Rfam family: Bacterial small subunit ribosomal RNA
Source: RNAcentral
UACGUAGGGGGCGAGCGUUGUCCGGAUUUAUUGGGCGUAAAACGCUUGUAGGUGGCUACGUCAAGUCGGACGUGAAAUCUCCCGGCUUAACUGGGAGGGGUCGCUCGAUACUGGCGAGCUCGAGGCAGGUAGGGGGAAGCGGAAUUCCCGGUGUAGUGGUGGAAUGCGUAGAGAUCGGGAGGAACACCCGUGGCGAAGGCGGCCUGCUGGGCCGAUCCUGACGCUGAGGCGCGAAGGCGUGGGGAGCGAACGGG